Molecule: ribosomal RNA, 683 nt
Filed under: uncultured bacterium
Lineage: Bacteria
Description: bacterial SSU rRNA
Rfam family: Bacterial small subunit ribosomal RNA
Source: RNAcentral
GAGUUUGAUCCUGGCUCAGGAUGAACGCUGGCGGCGUGCCUAACACAUGCAAGUCGAACGAAGCGUGCGGAUGGAAUUUCUUCGGAGAGGAAGCCUGCAUGACUGAGUGGCGGACGGGUGAGUAACGCGUGGGCAACCUGCCCUGCACAGGGGGACAACAGCCGGAAACGGCUGCUAAUACCGCAUAAGCGCACAGCUUCGCAUGGAGCGGUGUGAAAAGCUGCGGCGGUGCAGGAUGGGCCCGCGUCUGAUUAGCUGGUUGGCGGGGCAACGGCCCACCAAGGCGACGAUCAGUAGCCGGCCUGAGAGGGUGGACGGCCACAUUGGGACUGAGACACGGCCCAGACUCCUACGGGAGGCAGCAGUGGGGAAUAUUGCACAAUGGGGGAAACCCUGAUGCAGCGACGCCGCGUGAGCGAAGAAGUAUUUCGGUAUGUAAAGCUCUAUCAGCAGGGAAGAAAUUGACGGUACCUGAGUAAGAAGCUCCGGCUAAAUACGUGCCAGCAGCCGCGGUAAUACGUAUGGAGCAAGCGUUAUCCGGAUUUACUGGGUGUAAAGGGAGCGUAGGCGGCCUGCCAAGUCUGAUGUGAAAUACCGGGGCUCAACCCCGGGGCUGCAUUGGAAACUGGCAGGCUGGAGUGUCGGAGAGGCAGGCGGAAUUCCUAGUGUAGCGGUGAAAUGCG